CCAGAAGCAAAAAAUGUAAUACUUCUUAUGCAUGAAACUAUACAGGCUGAUACAAAAGCAUAACUACCACUGAAGGCCAGAGAGAUGGAUUUAAAAGUUUCCGCCUCUUUGUUAGGCCAAGCUGCUCAUCGGAUCUAAGAAGCUGUAUCCAUCCCUGUGGUUCCAACUACCAGCUUUGUCCCACACCUCAAGUCCCUUAAGCCUCGUUGGUGGUCGACAAGUGCUUCAAGUGGAACAUGGGCAAGCCUCACUGAUCAUCUCCACCAGCUCUGGUUCAUGAGCUCCGUGCCUCGUCCUGAGCUCUUUGGCCUCUUCCAUUUACCCUUCGGCCUCAGAUAAAUCUGGCCUGGACAAUCUCUCCAUCUGACUAUAUUCAGGUGGUCACCAAGUCUCGGUCUCUCUCGAGCGAUCCUUCCCUGUCCCACUGUCACUCCCUAAAUCAGGUUCCUGUUCUCUCUUCCUUGACAAUAGUUGUCAGCACUUAAUGGGUGUCUGAGAUUGUGCUAAACUUCUCGUAGCAUUUGUUUUCUUUUAUUUCAGUGCUGGGGACAGAGCCCAGGGCCUUGCCCAUGCUAGUCACACUACAUCUUAAUGAAUUCUCUAAACAGUCCUGUAAAGUAGGCCCUGCGUGUUACAGAUGAAGACACCGAGGCUGAGCAAAUGUGUCUGUCCUGCCUAGCAUCUCAGGGCAGCAGGUGGCAGGCUGGAAUCCCGGCUGACGGGCUCCAAAGCCUCCUCCUCACCUCACAGUUCAUCACCACCAGUGCUUUCCAAGAGCCUCAGAGUGGUCUGUCUACUUCCUGGCUAGGCCACUGUCUGCAUUUUUCCAGAGUCUUCUUCUGAAAGCACAUAUCGUCCAAUCAUGUCAGUUCAGUUUCUUGCCUUAAGGUCUCACUGACUCCCCAGUUCCUCCAGGAUAAACCCCACACACCUUGACCGGGCUCACGUGGCCUGCUCUGGGACCUAGCCCACGCGGACUCCAGCCACACUGAAAUACUUCUGUCCUUGGACUGCAGGUGUGUGGGAAAACGUCACUGGGGAAACGUCAGGCGUGUAACUGAAGACGCUCCCGGGAGUGGGAGAGAGGCCCCGACGGGGGGCCUUGCCCAAGGACCACAGGCUGCGCAGCAGGAGGGCCG
Molecule: long non-coding RNA, 1139 nt
Filed under: Marmota monax (woodchuck)
Lineage: Eukaryota; Metazoa; Chordata; Mammalia; Rodentia; Sciuridae
Source: RNAcentral